This 253-nucleotide ribosomal RNA is filed under the name uncultured bacterium. RNAcentral describes it as "partial 16S ribosomal RNA". It matches the Rfam family "Bacterial small subunit ribosomal RNA", at positions 524 to 776 of the family's 1533-position model. The record is from RNAcentral.
UACGUAGGGACCGAGCGUUGUCCGGAAUCAUUGGGCGUAAAGAGCGUGUAGGCGGCCACUUAAGUCCUGCGUGAAAUCUUGCGGCUCAACCGCAAGCGGUCGUGGGAAACUGGGUGGCUAGAGUGCGGGAGAGGAGAGUGGAAUUCCUGGUGUAGCGGUGAAAUGCGCAGAUAUCAGGAGGAACACCGAUGGCGAAGGCAGGUCUCUGGGCAUUAACUGACGCUGAGGAGCGAAAGCAUGGGGAGCGAACAGG